This 450-nucleotide ribosomal RNA is filed under the name uncultured bacterium. RNAcentral describes it as "bacterial SSU rRNA". It matches the Rfam family "Bacterial small subunit ribosomal RNA", at positions 354 to 796 of the family's 1533-position model. The record is from RNAcentral.
GUGGGGAAUUUUGGACAAUGGGCGCAAGCCUGAUCCAGCAAUGUCGCGUGCAGGAAGAAGGCCUUCGGGUUGUAAACUGCUUUUGUACGGAACGAAACGGUCCGGGUUAAUACCCUGGGCUAAUGACGGUACCGUAAGAAUAAGCACCGGCUAACUACGUGCCAGCAGCCGCGGUAAUACGUAGGGUGCAAGCGUUAAUCGGAAUUACUGGGCGUAAAGCGUGCGCAGGCGGUUUUGUAAGACAGGCGGGAAAUCCCCGGGCUAAACCUGGGAAUUGCGGUUGUGACUGCAAGGCUGGAGUGCGGCAGAGGGGGAUGGAAUUCCGCGUGUAGCAGUGAAAUGCGUAGAUAUGCGGAGGAACACCGAUGGCGAAGGCAAUCCCCUGGGCCUGCACUGACGCUCAUGCACGAAAGCGUGGGGAGCAAACAGGAUUAGAUACCCCAGUAGUCC